Long non-coding RNA from Pezoporus occidentalis (night parrot), 3796 nucleotides. RefSeq lists it as uncharacterized. Lineage: Eukaryota; Metazoa; Chordata; Aves; Psittaciformes; Psittacidae. The record is from RefSeq and is a predicted model, not a curated record. The transcript is spliced from 3 exons.
CUUGGUCCUCUGUUGUGUGAAAGGUUACUUCUUACCAGGUAUAAUGGAGAUUUUCAGGGUAUAUAGCAAAAAUUUUUGGCAGUGAGAAUUUUGUUCUAUAUGUUUCAUAGAGAUGCAACUAAUAAGGGGUUGGAUUUGUGAUCUCUUCAUACCUAGCAGCAGGUAUGUUAGCUGUCUACAGAUUAAUUCCACUUCAGUGAUAAUGCACUCAGUUGUUCUGUUGGGACUUGUGUUUCAGCUGUAUCUGGGGUGUAGUGGGUGUAGUGCCAAGUACUUCACUGUUUCUGUCGCCCUUUGUGGCCUGUUCAUCUGAGCCUUCCACAGCAUGCUGCUUUUCUUGUGCUGGGAUCUUGAGGCAGUUGUGGGAACAGAUCUCCAAGCAAGGAUCUCUUCCUGCUGACAGGCAGUAUUCCUUGUUAUCUGAUGGCCAGCUAUGGUUUUAAGAGAAAAAAUAAGAGCAAGUUUACAAAGCAGGCUCAUUUGAAAUGGUGACUUGUGCCUUUCUUACAUCACCUCUGAACUCCAAAACUACCUUUGAACUUUCCAUAAGGUAAAAUUCAGUUGGUUAUACUUAGGCAAAGCUGGUUUUUAUCUGGUGGAAAAUUUUUAAAAUCAACCUGCUCUUCAGCCGGUGCAUUUUUACUCUGAUUUAAGAAGACACAGAACAAAUUACUUGUGGCCUGUGUGUUUAAAGAUCCCACCCAGGCUUUUCUGGUCAUACCAAAGCUAUUGAUGGCAGUCUGAAUAUCCUUUUGUAGCUUCUGUAGCCACUAUAAACCUUCCUGCUAAUGAACAAGUAUUUUCUUCUGAGUUGUUUAUUUAAUAAUAAGAAAUUAGGGUUGCAUUUGAAACUAUCAUGUUAUGAUUUUAAGCCCCUCCACAUUUUGCACAUGAAAAAACACAUUUUACAAAAGCUUUGAUUAUGCCAGCCAGGGUUGGAGAUGUCCUCUUGCAUCCAAUUAUCCUCUUGGAUUUGAUUGAUAGAUUUUUUUUUUCCCCAGAUGAAAGCACUACACGUUUGACUCCCAAGUGUAUAAUAUGUACUCAGGCAUUUGGCCUCUGAAGCAGCCAUAGGCAAGGCAGGCAGAGUCAAGAAGCCCGUUAAAGUACGUACGGUCUGAACAAGGGCUAUUUCAUUACUGAGAAUAACUUUGAACUGACAGAGAAAGUCCUUCUUGGUGUAGGAAAGCCAGCUAAUUCUUCCAAGACUUUAGAGCACAUUAUUUUUAGUUCAAAAUAAUCAUGGGCUAUUAAACAUAAACAGAACCUGUGAGAAGCCCUGUGUCACUAAGCACGGCACCAGGAAAGUCUCACUGCAGCAAUUUUGUGCUCCUACAUGCUGAUGGAGACAUAUGGGGCUUCAGGUCUGACACCGUAUGUCUAUUCCUAUAUGAACUAGAUGCCCUUCUGUCACCCAGGGAAGAUAAGUAGUCCGUUUUAAAUACCCCUUUUCAAAUGAUUUAGAAACAAACAAACAAAAAGAGGUAUUUCUUGAGACAGAAAGGAGACAUUAGGAGUCAGCAAAAUUGUUUCUGUUUGUUCUCUGUUCUCCACAGAGAUGGUCACCAUACCCGUAUACAGGUCUAGUCUCCAAAUGGAGGAGGAAGGGAUCUAUUCUAAUCUGUUUUUUAAAGGUUAUACAGGAGAUUUUUGUGGGAAAGCCCAGAAAUAGCUGACGACAGCUAGACCUGUGAUGACAGAGCCAGUACUGAAGUCCUUGUACUCAAACUGAAGGCAAAGCAGACUAACCCUAAUGUGUGGUCAUCGCCAGAAGAAAGAUUACCGUAUUAGACCACAUUUUCCAAGGAGAUGAUCUAAGACUGAAGUGGAUGAGUCAGCUGAGAGCGAGCACUGUGACUAGAGACCUCACAGGAGUACCCAGCCAGGCGUGAAGCCAAUGAUCUUCCCAAAUCAACAAUUUCAGGACAAAUUACAGUUAAAUAAAGGGAUUUAUCUUGAGAUGUCUUUGGGAACUGCAUCCUUGAAGCACAGCUCUGGUCUAAGCAUCAGAUGGAGAAGGGUACAGGGACCAUCUCAGACAGCAUCCGAGAAAGAAUUCAAGUGGCAACAAAAGUUAAAAAAUAGCACGUAGCUCCCAGCAAGGUUUCCUACCCUGGGCAAGGAAUAGAUGCAGUUUUAUUUGUACCUAGUUUGGAAGGAAAUCUUUGCAACGGUGAACUUGGUUCUCUGACUUACAGCCUUUUGCUGAUCUCAGCCACACUUCUUGCCGAACAGCCUCCAGGUCAUGGAGACAAUAAGAGAUGUUGUCUUCUCAGGAUCAGUGGGUUUUAAAAUAAUCCAGAGAAGUGCCUUUGUAAGAGAACAAACCCAGUGCACCAUAUUUAAGGGGAAAGACACAAUAUUUUCCAACAGAAAGGGAUGUGUCCUUGGCUUUGCUGAUGCCAUACAGGUCAGGGCUGAAGUACCCAAUCCAAACUGAGUUGGGAGGUGACUCCUGCUGCAAGUGGAGGGAACCCAAGAGGUUCAGCACUAUGGUGACACUGAUCCUAUGAAAGAUGUUUUCUUGCAUAAUUCUGAUCCAAAUCUUGAAUAAUCUAGAAUGAAUGAGUUGUUUGAUGCCUGGGUAUUUUGCAGGGAUAUAAAUAACACUGCCCUGACUACAACAUGUGGCCCAAAGUAAUCUAUCUUUGCAGAUGAUAAGCACUAAUGAUACUUUUCCAAAUGCCUUAUCAAGAAUACUCUGUGGUAACAGCUGCUCAAGAACUCGUUGCAGAUUUAAGCUUGUGGCAUUGUAUGUUUGUGAUGGAGAAAAUCAGCAGGGACAACAGUGUCUGUAGUCUCAGUUACAGGCCCAGGGCUGUUCCCUCCCUUGCCCUUGUGGUUGGUUGCUGAUGCCCUAUGAGAUGUCACUACAGCUCCAUAAAAGAAGUCAUGCAGGUAUUAACCUAGGCUAUUCCUAGGACUGGGCACAACACUGUUAACAGCAGGGCCAAGCCCUCCUAUUUUCUCCAGCCAGAGUUUUGUCACAGUAGCCAAAAGAGCUGUUCAUUUUCACCCAGCGUUUUAGCCUCUGGUCUCAGUGCAAUUGCACUUCAUCAAGCUUCAGCAGCAGGAGCAGGAAGCAGAGCAGCCUUUGUGCCUUCCCCUGUGACACUGAGGCAAAGAUACGCAGCCUGGGGGCAAGCCUUACAGGAAACAAACCCACCUUUUCUGUCCUUGACUUGUAGAGAAGGGGAAGAGUUCAGCAAAUCAGAGACAGGAUUUGGCCCAUUGAUUUUUUUGCAUAUAAUAGGUAGCAGGUCUUAGGUGGAGAAAAAUGUUCUUUAAUCAGUAUCUUUUACUUUAUUGCAAUUAACUUUGUUAUGCUAAUACAGCCUUACUGAUUAAAGACGCCAAGUUUCCCCGUAAUAGUCUUGAAUUACUACUAGGGUAAUGAUAUUUCCAUUUCUAAACAUCCUGUGGUGCCAUCCAAGUUACAUCUGUAUUCAUGUACAUACCUAAUAUGAAUUAUUCUCACACAACAUUUACAUCAAACAUUCUUCCUGCAUCAAAAAUACACUACGUAGUUAAAAAACAGCUUCCCCAUGUUUUAGUGCUCAUCUUAAUACUGUUAUUAUAAGCCCUGUGCUAUUUACUGCUGUGUAUUUAAGCAGGUUUCAAACGAUAUUUGCAACACUUGGUGUACAAGGCUGAGCUCUGGGGAACGUGUGACAGUGGGUGACGCUGGAUGAGCUAUCUGCUGGUGCUAUUCAUCAUGCGUAAUAUGUCCUAUUGCACCAAGGGUGCAUGUAUGGUAGGCACACCCAGUAAUGGUGAAACACAGAAAUCAAAUUAC